UAACACGUAUCCAACCUGCCGUCUACUCUUGGACAGCCUUCUGAAAGGAAGAUUAAUACAAGAUGGCAUCAUGAGUCCGCAUGUUCACAUGAUUAAAGGUAUUCCGGUAGACGAUGGGGAUGCGUUCCAUUAGAUAGUAGGCGGGGUAACGGCCCACCUAGUCUUCGAUGGAUAGGGGUUCUGAGAGGAAGGUCCCCCACAUUGGAACUGAGACACGGUCCAAACUCCUACGGGAGGCAGCAGUGAGGAAUAUUGGUCAAUGGGCGAGAGCCUGAACCAGCCAAGUAGCGUGAAGGAUGACUGCCCUAUGGGUUGUAAACUUCUUUUAUAAAGGAAUAAAGUCGGGUAUGGAUACCCGUUUGCAUGUACUUUAUGAAUAAGGAUCGGCUAACUCCGUGCCAGCAGCCGCGGUAAUACGGAGGAUCCGAGCGUUAUCCGGAUUUAUUGGGUUUAAAGGGAGCGUAGAUGGAUGUUUAAGUCAGUUGUGAAAGUUUGCGGCUCGACCGUAAAAUUGCAGUUGAUACUGGAUAUCUUGAGUGCAGUUGAGGCAGGCGGAAUUCGUGGUGUAGCGGUGAAAUGCUUAGAUAUCACGAAGAACUCCGAUUGCGAAGGCAGCCUGCUAAGCUGCAACUGACAUUGAGGCUCGAAAGUGUGGGUAUCAAACAGGAUUAGAUACCCUGGUAGUCCACACGGUAAACGAUGAAUACUCGCUGU
RNAcentral lists this ribosomal RNA (714 nucleotides) under uncultured bacterium. RNAcentral describes it as "bacterial SSU rRNA". It matches the Rfam family "Bacterial small subunit ribosomal RNA", at positions 111 to 823 of the family's 1533-position model. The record is from RNAcentral.